GGGUUACACGAGACAACACCGAGGUCGAUCAUAUCGGACAAAGUCUUACACUAUGUCAGUGGACAAAUGACAUCCGCGGCAAUAUCUGUGCCAACUUUGAAGAGCUGAGAGAGAUGUUCCUCCAGCUGCUGUACGAGCACAUCAGAGAAGAAUCGAGACCACGAAGUCACAAGGAGUUUCUGUCGAGGAGCCUGAGACAGUGGGAUUCAGCUUCAAGUGGGACGCUUUGCUCACCAUUAAAUUUCUUGUGUCUUCUCUUCGUUCAGUGUUCUCUA
Molecule: long non-coding RNA, 275 nt
Organism: Musa acuminata AAA Group (dessert banana)
Lineage: Eukaryota; Viridiplantae; Streptophyta; Magnoliopsida; Zingiberales; Musaceae
Exons: 3
Source: RefSeq, a predicted model, not a curated record